Molecule: unclassified non-coding RNA, 263 nt
Filed under: Hevea brasiliensis (rubber tree)
Lineage: Eukaryota; Viridiplantae; Streptophyta; Magnoliopsida; Malpighiales; Euphorbiaceae
Source: RNAcentral
AGGAUUCCGCGAUGGCGAUGGUUUCUUUUCGCGCGAUCAGGGACGCGGCGAUUUUUUCCGCGAGCGGCAGCAGCUUUUCCAUAACGGGACUUUCAGUAUGAGGGCGACGUAAGCGGUACGAGAGGAGAGUCCUGAUGCAAGAUGAUGUCUGUCUCUCUGCUCGUCCCCGCGAAAGCGGGGACCCAGAUAUUGAGUACUGGAUUCCCGCUUCCGCGGGAAUGAGCGGAUACCUGUAUCGGCGCAGAUCAGAGCUGCGUCUUGUA